GUUUCAGACAGGAAAAAGGAAGUAUUUAAACUGUCUCAAGGUGAAUAUGUUGCUGUGGAAAGCGUUGAAAGCAAAUACUUGCAAUGCCCCCUUGUCACAUCGACAUGGGUUUAUGGGAACGGCUUUGAGUCAUUUCUUGUUGCUGUGGUUGUUCCUGGCAGAAAGGCCUUGGAGGACUGGGCAGCUGAGCAUCAUUUGACUGAUGAUUACAAAUCAUUGUGUCAAAACCUGAGAGCAAGAAAUUACAUUUUGGAUGAGCUUAAUAUUACGGCUUCGAGGGUUUGAGUUGUUAGAAGCAGCUUCAAAAUUUGGUGCAGAUGGCAAAGAAGGAACAUGAUGAGGUGGACUCUAAUCUCUUCUCUCGACUCCAAUCUUGCUUUUAUUGGGAGGAAUUUUCUUAGUUGAUUUAGGUUUCCGGGAACAACUUUGAGUUGUUUCUUGCUGCUGUGGUGACUUUGGUGGACAGGACAGAUAGCUGAACAUCACUUGACCGAUGACUUUAGAUCAUUGUGUCAAAACCAGAGGGCAAGAUAUGAAUUUUGGAUGAGUUUCCAGAUUCUGGGGAAAAUCACUUUGACAUGGAGAGUGAUCUCUCAGAACUUUCAAAUGAGAGAGUACAUGCAAGAUUGGCUGUGCACCUGUCCAACUGUCUGUGCGGCUGCUGAAAUUACUGAGUCAUCAGCUACUACCAAAUGUCGUGUGUGGCUGCAGUAACUCCAUUUGUUAAAAUCUCGUUUAUGCAUCCCGUCUACUGCUGCCUUCUUAGUAGAUGAGUUAUUUUUGAGUCUUUAUACCAGUGUAGUGGUGUUCCUCAGAUGCUGCAUGGUGCUUCUAGUAAUGCCACGACGAUAGGAUGUAAACCCUCUGUAUAUGGAGGUCACGGUCCAUGAAGAUAGGGACUUCUCAUAAAGGUUUGGUGAAUAUAUUGGUCAAUAGGCAGUCAUGAUUAUGAAAGAUGAUGAUGAUGACCUUGAAAGUGGAAAACCAAUUGCAUUUACUUCAGAGAAUAAUCUCCCAAGUUAUUUCCUAGUUCCAGCGUUUGUGAUCAUUAAUGUUUUUUGGUGCCUGCUAUUUUUGGUGACUCGCAUGGCAUUCGUAACUAAGGCUUCUUGGGGCUUGUUUUGAUGCAUGAAUUGCUACUUGCUUUACUGA
Rosa chinensis is the source of this 1152-nucleotide long non-coding RNA. RefSeq lists it as uncharacterized. NCBI's taxonomy places the organism in Eukaryota, Viridiplantae, Streptophyta, Magnoliopsida, Rosales, Rosaceae. The transcript is spliced from 5 exons. The record is from RefSeq and is a predicted model, not a curated record.